This is a non-coding RNA of Lonchura striata (white-rumped munia), 244 nucleotides long. The record is from RefSeq and is a predicted model, not a curated record. NCBI's taxonomy places the organism in Eukaryota, Metazoa, Chordata, Aves, Passeriformes, Estrildidae.
UGUGCCCCUGCCUCUGCAAAACGCCCUGCCAGCACGGGGGCAGGGCCAGUGCCAGACCCACUCCGCAGAGUUUUGGUCCGCUGGGACGCUCUAUAACUGGUAAUGUUCGCCAAGGAAACUGAGCGAGAUGAGGGUGUUCCUGGAGGGCCUUACUCAUCUCUGGCUGAAGACAGCCUCAGUCUUUGUGUUGGCUGCAGGGGAUGAAGGGUGUGGAAACCACCGUCUGCGCUGCCGAGGGGACUCA